GGUUAAAACGUUAUAUAAUGAUACUAAAGGAUGCCUGUCUAAUAACGGCUGGAUCUCAGAAACCUAUAGUCUUCACCGUGGUAUAAAACAAGGAUGUCCGUUAAGUUCUCUUAUUUUUGUUAAUAGCAGUUGAAAUCCUGGCCUGUAGAGUAAGACAAGAUUCAAACAUUAAAGGGUUUCAAAUUAAACUUGAUGAAAAAACGCAUAGUUUUAAAAAUUUCCCAAUUGGCUGAUGACACAACACUCUUUCUCAGUUCAAAAAAUGAAAUACACCAAGCAUUAAACCUAAUAGAAAUAUUUGGAACACUUUCU
RNAcentral lists this long non-coding RNA (312 nucleotides) under Mytilus galloprovincialis (Mediterranean mussel). The record is from RNAcentral. Lineage: Eukaryota; Metazoa; Mollusca; Bivalvia; Mytilida; Mytilidae.